AAGUUUCUUUCUUCCCUUGUUAAGAUAAGGUCUUAUAGUUUUAAGACAAGGGGUCUUCUUUAAGACAAGGUCUUAGACUUCAAGACAAUGAGUCUUCCAUUAGGAUAAGGUUUAGGAAGAUCCUUUUGAAAGGCUAAGAGAGGGGUUUAGGCCAUUUAAGAAAGAAUUGGUGAAGGAGUGCUGGGAAUUAGUCCUAGCAAGGCA
Molecule: long non-coding RNA, 204 nt
Filed under: Elaeis guineensis (African oil palm)
Lineage: Eukaryota; Viridiplantae; Streptophyta; Magnoliopsida; Arecales; Arecaceae
Description: long non-coding RNA (EGUI_LNC037495)
Source: RNAcentral